AGCGAACGCUGGCGGCAGGCCUAACACAUGCAAGUCGAACGGAUCCUUCGGGAUUAGUGGCGGACGGGUGAGUAACACGUGGGAACGUGCCCUUUGGUUCGGAACAACUCAGGGAAACUUGAGCUAAUACCGGAUGUGCCCUUCGGGGGAAAGAUUUAUCGCCAUUGGAGCGGCCCGCGUCUGAUUAGCUAGUUGGUGAGGUAAAGGCUCACCAAGGCGACGAUCAGUAGCUGGUCUGAGAGGAUGAUCAGCCACAUUGGGACUGAGACACGGCCCAAACUCCUACGGGAGGCAGCAGUGGGGAAUCUUGCGCAAUGGGCGAAAGCCUGACGCAGCCAUGCCGCGUGAAUGAUGAAGGUCUUAGGAUUGUAAAAUUCUUUCACCGGGGACGAUAAUGACGGUACCCGGAGAAGAAGCCCCGGCUAACUUCGUGCCAGCAGCCGCCGUAA
This 449-nucleotide ribosomal RNA is filed under the name uncultured bacterium. RNAcentral's name for it is "partial 16S ribosomal RNA". It matches the Rfam family "Bacterial small subunit ribosomal RNA", at positions 29 to 523 of the family's 1533-position model. The record is from RNAcentral.